RNAcentral lists this microRNA precursor (85 nucleotides) under Zootermopsis nevadensis. RNAcentral's name for it is "mir-981 microRNA precursor family". It matches the Rfam family "mir-981 microRNA precursor family". The record is from Rfam by way of RNAcentral. Lineage: Eukaryota; Metazoa; Arthropoda; Insecta; Blattodea; Termopsidae.
CCUCACAUGUUCCGGGUUUCGCGACGACUGAACCGUAUGAACCAUAAGACGGGUUCGUUGUCGACGAAACCUGCAUGAUGUGGGG